Molecule: ribosomal RNA, 324 nt
Filed under: Triticum aestivum (bread wheat)
Lineage: Eukaryota; Viridiplantae; Streptophyta; Magnoliopsida; Poales; Poaceae
Description: partial small subunit ribosomal RNA
Source: RNAcentral
AUGCUUUUAGGCAUGCAAACUUUGGAAAAAAUAUAUGUUGGUUCGACGAUAUUCGAGACAGACUGUGCGGCUGUUGUGGAGGCCCUCAAUGCAAAGUCUGUGAUCAGGCCAAGAUGGUGGGCUACUUAUAACGAUUCUUUGGAAUUGUUGAAGAAUUCCCCAUCCUGGAGAGUGACAAAGAUUGGAAGAGAGAGCAACGUGGCUGCACAUAAACUUGCUGCUUACGCUAGAUCUAAUGGCAGUUUUUUUAUGAUGAGCAGUGUGCCGUGUAGUAUAACUGAUGUAAUCUUGAAAGAUAGUACUCCGGGUACAAGUAAUAUAUAA